This 498-nucleotide ribosomal RNA is filed under the name uncultured bacterium. RNAcentral describes it as "partial 16S ribosomal RNA". It matches the Rfam family "Bacterial small subunit ribosomal RNA", at positions 28 to 523 of the family's 1533-position model. The record is from RNAcentral.
GAUGAACGCUAGCGGCAGGCUUAAUACAUGCAAGUCGAACGGGAUUGAGAAGCUUGCUUUUCAUGAGAGUGGCGCACGGGUGCGUAACACGUAUGCAACCUACCUUGUCCAGGGGGAUAGCCCGUUGAAAGACGGAUUAAGACCGUAUAACAUUGAGCUGUGGCAUCACAAAUCAAUCAAAUAUUUAUAGGGACAAGAUGGGCAUGCGCCUGAUUAGGUAGUUGGCGGGGUAAUGGCCCACCAAGCCGACGAUCAGUAGGGGAUCUGAGAGGAUGACCCCCCACACUGGUACUGAGACACGGACCAGACUCCUACGGGAGGCAGCAGUAAGGAAUAUUGGUCAAUGGGCGAAAGCCUGAACCAGCCAUGCCGCGUGCAGGAAGACGGCCCUACGGGUUGUAAACUGCUUUUAUACGGGAAUAACCCCGGUUUCGUGAAACCGGCUGAAUGUACCGUAAGAAUAAGGAUCGGCUAACUCCGUGCCAGCAGCCGCCGUAA